AGAGUUUGAUCCUGGCUCAGGACGAACGCUGGCGGCGUGCCUAACACAUGCAAGUCGAACGGGGCGAAGGGAGCUUGCUCCUGGAGCCUAGUGGCGGACGGGUGAGUAACGCGUGAGUAACCUGCCUUUCAGAGGGGGAUAACAUUCUGAAAAGGAUGCUAAUACCGCAUAAAGUCAGAGUGUCGCAUGGCGCACUGACCAAAGGAGCAAUCCGCUGAAAGAUGGACUCGCGUCCGAUUAGCUAGUUGGCGGGGUAAAGGCCCACCAAGGCGACGAUCGGUAGCCGGACUGAGAGGUUGAACGGCCACAUUGGGACUGAGACACGGCCCAGACUCCUACGGGAGGCAGCAGUGGGGGAUAUUGCACAAUGGGGGAAACCCUGAUGCAGCAACGCCGCGUGAGUGACGAAGGUCUUCGGAUUGUAAAACUCUGUUCUUGGUGAAGAUAAUGGCGGUAGCCAAGGAGAAAGCUCCGGCUAACUACGUG
This 486-nucleotide ribosomal RNA is filed under the name uncultured Oscillospiraceae bacterium. RNAcentral's name for it is "bacterial SSU rRNA". It matches the Rfam family "Bacterial small subunit ribosomal RNA", at positions 8 to 507 of the family's 1533-position model. The record is from RNAcentral. Lineage: Bacteria; Bacillati; Bacillota; Clostridia; Eubacteriales; Oscillospiraceae.